UUCACGUGCCAGGGAAGGCGCAAAGCUCAAAGCGCUGAUCCUCGAGCGCUUGGGCGAGAUGCAGCGCCUGCUGACACAAGUCAAACCAUUAUUGCCAUUGCAGAUUAAAACCUAUCAGGAACGCCUUAGCGUUAAAUUUCACGAGACUGUGAAAAAU
Molecule: unclassified non-coding RNA, 157 nt
Filed under: fungal sp.
Lineage: Eukaryota; Fungi
Description: partial internal transcribed spacer region
Source: RNAcentral